Molecule: long non-coding RNA, 363 nt
Filed under: Rattus norvegicus (Norway rat)
Lineage: Eukaryota; Metazoa; Chordata; Mammalia; Rodentia; Muridae
Description: long non-coding RNA NONRATT032951
Source: RNAcentral
AUAUGUAUUGAGUAUAUAUGACCUCUAUUUUAGAUUUCAAAGAGUUACAAGAAUGUCUCCAAAAAAAGUGUGUCUUCUAUGGACUCCCAAUCUUAGAAGAGGUGUAAACAACAACAGUGGCAGCAACCACCACCACUACCACCACCACAACAAAACAAGUGUUUGAGAAUAACAUCAAGAACCACUUCCAGAGUCCUGCCAGGUUGCCAGAGUCCUUCCAGGUUGGAGCUCCAAGGAGACAGGAAUGAAACAGCAACUCAAACAGACAGUGAUGGAGAAUUCCUGAUCGAGUUUACAUUUGUUUCACAUGCAGAAGGUGAUGGUGUCAUCCUGUGGCAUUAACAAUUCUUAACAAGAAUUUAA